Molecule: ribosomal RNA, 494 nt
Filed under: uncultured bacterium
Lineage: Bacteria
Description: partial 16S ribosomal RNA
Rfam family: Bacterial small subunit ribosomal RNA
Source: RNAcentral
GACGAACGCUGGCGGCGUGCUUAACACAUGCCAGUCGAACGGUGAAGCGCCUUCCUUUUUGGUUGGUGUGGAUGAGUGGCGAACGGGUGAGUAACACGUGAGUAACCUGCCCCCUUCUUCUGGAUAACCGCAUGAAAGUGUGGCUAAUACGGGAUAUUCUGGGUCUGUCGCAUGAUGGGUCUGGGAAAGAUAUUGCUUCGGUGGGGGAUGGGCUCGCGGCCUAUCAGCUUGUUGGUGGGGUGAUGGCCUACCAAGGCGGUGACGGGUAGCCGGCCUGGGAGGAUGGACGGUCACAGAGGGACUGAGACACGGCGCAGACUCCGACGGGAGGCAGCAGGGAGGAAUAGUGCACAAUGGGCGCAAGCCUGAAGCAGCGACGCCGCGUGAGGGAUGGAGUCCGUCUGGUUGUGAACCUCUUUCGCCAGUGAAGCAGGCCUGCCUCGUUUGUGGGUGGGUUGACGGUAGCUGGAUAAGAAGCGCCGGCUAACUACGUG